GCCCGUGCUUGGGUAGAGAGUCAAUUAGGGCAACGCCACUAUAAAAAGGCCUCCUUCAAGUCACUUUUCCGCAACAAUAUUCGCCCUUUCUUCUCUUGAUUCUAGCCCUAAAUAUUAUUUGCUCUAUCGGUGUAUUAAUAUUUGAUUUUUGGGAAGAAAAUGAUGAAAAUCUCAGCUUCGUGCUAACGUAGCAUCAACAAUUGAAAUCUGGUGAUGCAGUGAGCGGCACUUUCCACACGAGAUUUCUGAUACUCCGAUCUUUUCUCUCUUAUUUCUGAUACUUUUUUUUUUUUAUAUAAAACAUAAGUAUCUCAUAAACAGUGACAAAUUUCAAUUCGUCAUGAUUUUUUAUCGAUAUAUUUUUAUUUUUUUAGUCUGCUUUUUCUUUUCUUUUUUUUCUUUCGCAAUUUUCUGCCUUUCCUUGAACUCGAGUUUGUUUUUGGGUUUUUCAUUUU
Molecule: long non-coding RNA, 455 nt
Filed under: Olea europaea subsp. europaea
Lineage: Eukaryota; Viridiplantae; Streptophyta; Magnoliopsida; Lamiales; Oleaceae
Source: RNAcentral